CCCUUAGAUGUUCUGGGCCGCACGCGCGCUACACUGAUGCAUUCAACGAGCCUAUCCUUGACCGACAGGUCCGGGUAAUCUUUGAAUCUGCAUCGUGACGGGGAUAGAUUAUUGCAAUUAUUAAUCUUCAACGAGGAAUGCCUAGUAGGCGCAAGUCAUCAGCUUGCGUCGAUUACGUCCCUGCCCUUUGUACACACCGCCCGUCGCUCCUACCGAUUGGAUGAUCCGGUGAGCUAUUCGGACUUUCGCAUUGUCGAUUUUCGGCUUUACGAGGGAAAGUCUCGCGAACCUUAUCAUCUAGAGGAAGGAGAAGUCGUAACA
RNAcentral lists this ribosomal RNA (321 nucleotides) under uncultured eukaryote. RNAcentral describes it as "partial 18S ribosomal RNA". It matches the Rfam family "Eukaryotic small subunit ribosomal RNA", at positions 1470 to 1796 of the family's 1831-position model. The record is from RNAcentral.